UUUGGUGACAAUAACGAUGAGGAUACACCUGUACCCAUACCGAACACAGAAGUUAAGCUCAUUCGUGCCGAAGAUACUUGCGAGUUACCUUGCUGGGAAAAUAGGUCGUUGCCAAUU
RNAcentral lists this ribosomal RNA (117 nucleotides) under Clostridiales bacterium. The record is from RNAcentral. Lineage: Bacteria; Bacillati; Bacillota; Clostridia; Eubacteriales.